This 439-nucleotide ribosomal RNA is filed under the name uncultured bacterium. RNAcentral's name for it is "partial 16S ribosomal RNA". It matches the Rfam family "Bacterial small subunit ribosomal RNA", at positions 339 to 795 of the family's 1533-position model. The record is from RNAcentral.
CUACGGGGGGCAGCAGUGGGGAAUCUUAGACAAUGGGCGCAAGCCUGAUCUAGCCAUGCCGCGUGAGUGACGAAGGCCUUAGGGUCGUAAAGCUCUUUCGCUGGGGAAGAUAAUGACGGUACCCAGUAAAGAAACCCCGGCUAACUCCGUGCCAGCAGCCGCGGUAAUACGGAGGGGGUUAGCGUUGUUCGGAAUUACUGGGCGUAAAGCGCGCGUAGGCGGAUCAGAAAGUUGGGGGUGAAAUCCCGGGGCUCAACCCCGGAACUGCCUUCAAAACUCCUGGUCUUGAGUUCGAGAGAGGUGAGUGGAAUUCCGAGUGUAGAGGUGAAAUUCGUAGAUAUUCGGAGGAACACCAGUGGCGAAGGCGGCUCACUGGCUCGAUACUGACGCUGAGGUGCGAAAGCGUGGGGAGCAAACAGGAUUAGAUACCCUAGUAGUC